This 253-nucleotide ribosomal RNA is filed under the name uncultured bacterium. Its description in RNAcentral is "partial 16S ribosomal RNA". It matches the Rfam family "Bacterial small subunit ribosomal RNA", at positions 524 to 776 of the family's 1533-position model. The record is from RNAcentral.
UACGUAGGGGGCAAGCGUUGUCCGGAAUCAUUGGGCGUAAAGCGCGUGUAGGCGGCCCGGUAAGUCCGCUGUGAAAGUCGGGGGCUCAACCCUCGAAUGCCGGUGAAUACUGUCGGGCUAGAGUGCGGAAGAGGCGAGUGGAAUUCCUGGUGUAGCGGUGAAAUGCGCAGAUAUCAGGAGGAACACCAAUUGCGAAGGCAGCUCGCUGGGACGUGACUGACGCUGAGACGCGAAAGCGUGGGGAGCAAACAGG